GACGAACGCUGGCGGCGUGCCUAAUACAUGCAAGUCGAACGCUUCUUUUCCCACCGGAGCUUGCUCCACCGGGAAAAGGGGAGUGGCGAACGGGUGAGUAACACGUGGGUAACCUGCCCAUCAGAAGGGGAUAACACUUGGAAACAGGUGCUAAUACCGUAUAACAAUCGAAACCGCAUGGUUUCGUUUUGAAAGGCGCUUUACGGUGCCGCUGAUGGAUGGACCCGCGGUGCAUUAGCUAGUUGGUGAGGUAACGGCUCACCAAGGCCACGAUGCAUAGCCGACCUGAGAGGGUGGUCGGCCACAUUGGGACUGAGACACGGCCCAAACUCCUACGGGAGGCAGCAGUAGGGAAUCUUCGGCAAUGGACGAAAGUCUGACCGAGCAACGCCGCGUGAGUGAAGAAGGUUUUCGGAUCGUAAAACUCUGUUGUUAGAGAAGAACAAGGGUGAGAGUAACUGUUCACCCCUUGACGGUAUCUAACCAGAAAGCCACGGCUAACUACGUGCCAGCCGCCGCCGUAA
RNAcentral lists this ribosomal RNA (524 nucleotides) under uncultured bacterium. RNAcentral's name for it is "partial 16S ribosomal RNA". It matches the Rfam family "Bacterial small subunit ribosomal RNA", at positions 28 to 523 of the family's 1533-position model. The record is from RNAcentral.